This 298-nucleotide signal recognition particle RNA is filed under the name Saimiri boliviensis boliviensis (Bolivian squirrel monkey). RNAcentral describes it as "Metazoan signal recognition particle RNA (ENSSBOG00000008553.1)". It matches the Rfam family "Metazoan signal recognition particle RNA". From Rfam's summary of the family: The signal recognition particle (SRP) is a universally conserved ribonucleoprotein. Lineage: Eukaryota; Metazoa; Chordata; Mammalia; Primates; Cebidae. The record is from RNAcentral.
GCUGGGCACAGUGGUGCAUGCCUAUAGUCCCAGCUACUUGGGAGGCUGAGGUGGGAGGAUCGCUUGAGCCCAGGAGUUCUGGCCUGUAGUGCGCUAUGCCAAUCAGGUGUCUGCACUAAGUUCGGCAUCAAUAUGGUGACCUCCCGGGAGCAGGGGACCACUAAGUUGCCUGAGGAGUGUGAACUGGCCCAGGUCGUAAACGGAGCAGGUCAAAAUUCCUGUGCUGAUCAGUAGUGGAAUCGUGCCUGUGAAUAGCCACUGUACUCCAGCCUGAGCAACAUAGUGAGACCCUGUCUCU